Molecule: long non-coding RNA, 469 nt
Filed under: Homo sapiens (human)
Lineage: Eukaryota; Metazoa; Chordata; Mammalia; Primates; Hominidae
Description: novel transcript
Source: RNAcentral
AAAGCAGUCUGCUUUCACCUGACAGGGACAACAGUACACCUUUUUCCUCUUCUCUUGGGGCCAUAUCAACUCCGGGAUCUUGGUUAUUUUGAUAUCCUACAGAAUAUCAUACUGACUGGACCUGGCGAGCAGGAAAAGUUGCAAACACCCUAGAUGCCUUAGUAAGAUACCUGUGUGUUACAGGAUGGAGCCUGACUGGCUCAUGGAGAAAGCCUACCUAAGAAUGAAGCCGGGACCCGGCAGAAUGGCUCCUGUGAAGAAGGGUGGCAAGAAGAAAAAGGGCCGUUCUGCCAUCAAUGAGGUGGUGACCCGAGAAUACACCAUCAACAUUCACAAGUGCAUCCAUGGAGUGGGCUUCAAGAAGCAUGCCCCUUGAGCACUCAAAGAGAUUCGGAAAUUUGUCAGGAAGGAGAUGGGAACUCUAGAUGUGCACAACUGAUACCAGGCUCAACAAGGCUGUCUGGGCCAA